GCGUUAUUUCGCCGCUCUAUUUAAACUGCUCGUGCGUUUCAAACUGCUCUUCGGAUUCAAAUUUGCAUUGGGGUGAGUUCCUACCCUUGAUGGGUGAGUCUCAAAGCUAUGCUAAACUAAGUGAGCUAGUAGCGGACCAAAGAGUGCUGUCAUACUCCACCGUUACCUAGACUGAACCUACGUGGCACAUUGUGAGGAAGAGGGACCAAAGAUUCGACUUGUAAAUGGAACGGCUGCAUCUCCAUGGAAGAACUACGUUCGGGAUGAAGAAAGAAAAAGAGGUGCUGGGGUAUGGGGAAGGAACGUAGACAAGCCUUGAUGCCGCUUCCCCAGCACGCCCCAGCAAAGACCAGAGUGUUGGCUACCACAGACUGGUAGAACAUCUUCAGUAGCCUGCAGCACACAUUGAAGAAAAAAAUAAAGUCUGCUCUGACUUCUGAUAGAGGGCCUCGGUGUUGUUUGUCCAGUCCAGUUUAUUGUUUAUGUGUAAUCCUUGGAACUUGUACAAGUCGACUGUCUUUAUUUGAUCCCCCUGGAUGGUAAGACAACAACAACAAUAGUGGGAGGAAAAACUCCCACUAUUGUUUGGUCUAACCAAUAAGUAAAUAAUAUUACAAAAUAAUAAUUAAAACAUUAAGUCAAGCAAGUGUAAAAAUAAUAUGAGACAUGAACUCCAGUCUACUGGUUGAAAGAGUUUAUCAAUCCAUCCAAUGCAUGGAUGGAGUAAGGCCUUGGCUCAGACAUCAGAACUCUAGUGGGAUUCCCAUCGGAAUCCCUCCUGAGCAGGUCAGUCAGUUGUGAGGGGCAGUACGAGGACAACCCCCCCCCCCCCCAGUUAUAAGGAUAAGGAUUCGGUUUAAUCUGAUAUAUUUACAAUAAAAUUCGCCUUCGCCAACCUGACGCCCCACUCCUGAGGCUGUACCUGCUGAUGAUGCUCUACAUAAUUUCAGUGGUGGAAACCAGUGUAGUGAUGGCCUUGAUAUGCUUAGACCAGAGUCUCAAGCCUCCAAAGUAUAUUGCUGUGUUUAAAUUGGCGUUUGUAGAUGUGAUCGGCAGCUCCUCCCUGGUGCCCAAGGUUAUCGGGUUUGUCUCAUGGCCCUGCGGUCUUCGGUGACGGUUUCAUUUCGCGAUAGUACCUACAACCACCUGGUGCCGCCGUUUCAAUUCCAUUCAAAAAGCUUCAUGGCACGACAAUUGUUUAGAACAGUAUUACCGAUGCAUUAUUUAUCUUUAUUUUUGGUGUUUGACGGUAGUAUGUUUUCUAUCCCUAGAG
Molecule: long non-coding RNA, 1273 nt
Organism: Gadus chalcogrammus (walleye pollock)
Lineage: Eukaryota; Metazoa; Chordata; Actinopteri; Gadiformes; Gadidae
Exons: 4
Source: RefSeq, a predicted model, not a curated record